AUUGAACGCUGGCGGCAGGCCUAACACAUGCAAGUCGAGCGGAUGAAGGGAGCUUGCUCCUGGAUACAGCGGCGGACGGGUGAGUAAUGCCUAGGAAUCUGCCUGGUAGUGGGGGAUAACGUCCUGAAACGGGCGCUAAUACCGCAUACGUCCUGAGGGAGAAAGGGGGGGAUCUUCGGACCUCACGCUAUCAGAUGAGCCUAGGUCGGAUUAGCUAGUUGGUGGGGUAAAGGCCUACCAAGGCGACGAUCCGUAACUGGUCUGAGAGGAUGAUCAGUCACACUGGAACUGAGACACGGUCCAGACUCCUACGGGAGGCAGCAGUGGGGAAUAUUGGACAAUGGGCGAAAGCCUGAUCCAGCCAUGCCGCGUGUGUGAAGAAGGUCUUCGGAUUGUAAAGCACUUUAAGUUGGGAAGAAGGGCAGUAAGUUAAUACCUUGCUGUUUUGACGUUACCAACAGAAUAAGCACCGGCUAACUUCGUG
Molecule: ribosomal RNA, 484 nt
Filed under: uncultured bacterium
Lineage: Bacteria
Description: partial 16S ribosomal RNA
Rfam family: Bacterial small subunit ribosomal RNA
Source: RNAcentral